This 444-nucleotide unclassified non-coding RNA is filed under the name Hevea brasiliensis (rubber tree). The record is from RNAcentral. Lineage: Eukaryota; Viridiplantae; Streptophyta; Magnoliopsida; Malpighiales; Euphorbiaceae.
UAUGCCCUCCCACACGCCAUCCUGCGUCUUGAUCUUGCAGGGCGUGAUCUCACAGAUCACCUCAUGAAGAUCCUCACAGAACGAGGCUACUCUUUCACCACCACAGCCGAGCGGGAAAUUGUUAGGGAUGUGAAGGAGAAGUUGUCUUACAUUGCUCUUGACUAUGAACAGGAAAUUGAAACAGCAAAGACCAGCUCAUCUGUUGAGAAGAGCUAUGAGCUUCCUGAUGGACAGGUUAUCACCAUUGGUGCUGAGCGAUUCCGCUGUCCAGAAGUGCUGUUCCAACCAUCAAUGAUCGGAAUGGAAGCUGCUGGUAUUCAUGAAACCACGUACAAUUCCAUCAUGAAGUGUGACGUUGAUAUCAGGAAGGAUCUGUAUGGAAACAUCGUCCUCAGUGGUGGUACCACAAUGUUCCCUGGUAUUGCUGAUAGGAUGAGCAAGGAA